GCCAGUGUGGCGUAAGGGUUUGAGGGCUGGACUACGACUCUAGAGACCAAGGUUCAAUUCCUGCUCAUACG
This is a non-coding RNA of Phrynosoma platyrhinos (Desert horned lizard), 71 nucleotides long. The record is from the annotation of a GenBank genome assembly. NCBI's taxonomy places the organism in Eukaryota, Metazoa, Chordata, Lepidosauria, Squamata, Phrynosomatidae.